Molecule: non-coding RNA, 2081 nt
Organism: Sus scrofa (pig)
Lineage: Eukaryota; Metazoa; Chordata; Mammalia; Artiodactyla; Suidae
Source: RefSeq, a predicted model, not a curated record
UUCCCGUUUCUUUCCUUUGGUGUCUGUGUGAGGCGUGGAUGUUGCUGUGCUCUUCCUUCCAUAUGAUGUCCGUAGGUCACAUCCCUGUGCCGGGCGCCUGGCACCUGAGCGUGUCCAGGGCUGCACGUCCGGCGACGCCUCCAGAGAAACCAACACGCUCCAUGCUGAGUUCUUGGUCCAGAGCCUGCCACCCGGCUCCCUGUCCGAACCUGAGCUCACAGCUCAACGCGUCGAUGCGCCAUCGCCAGGCCAGCCCCGGCCUCCACAUCCUGCUUUCCCUGCUUGCUCUGGAACAACCCAGUGAGAUCUCCGGGCACACCCCGGACCCGGGGAGGCCCUGCCCAUGGGUCCCCCCUCUCUGCUCCCCGCCUGUUCCCACAAGCUGGCUGGUGGUGUGUCUCUGCGGCCCCCAGGCACACAGUAACCGCCGCCCCCCACCUCCCGGGACCUGGGGUAUAACAUACAUCUUCCUUCCGAGGCUCUGCCUCGGCUUCCAACAUUUCAGCGGCAGGAAGGACAGGCAGGUCUGCCCCAGAGAGAGUUCUGGAAAUGGAGCCUGUGUGCCUCCCCCCUCACCGGCUCUGAGGGUGCCCCACCUCCUAGGAGAUGGGCGGACAAGCACGGCCUCCUGCGUGGGCCUGGGGCAGCCCUGGGCGGCAUCGUCACAGGCCCACUUUAUUCACAGCAAGUGCAGGAUGCUCUUGAUCCAAAUCCGUCACCGGGUGUGUGCCAACCACGGGCUUCGCUGGGAAGACAGGAAGCGCCCAGGGAGGCUGAGGACAAGGAUUAGCCAGCAGGGGACAGCGAUGCGGGGAGGCAGAGAGGCCUGGCAUCCGCGUGUGGGGCGGGGGGGGGGGGUGGGCAGAGAAGGAGGGGGCAGGAGAGAGCAGGGAGCUCCGUCCCGGCUUUCCCCCCCUCCAGGGUGCCUAAGGAAGAAAGAGGCUGGAUUUCUGCCAAUCGCUCCUUCCCACCCAGGGCUUGGCGACACUCACCCUGCAGGUCUGGAACUCAAGGUCCUGGGUGUGGGCUGACCAGUGAAUGAGGGUGGAGGCAGGACAGGCCAGCCCAGCCCCGCAAGCCUCUGGGUGGGGCUCAGGGCCCCUGGGGGACAUAAUAGCGGCCCCUUGGGAAGUGGCUUCAGACGCUGGCUCUCUGAAAGGAGUCUGAAGCUGGUGGUGAGCGGGUGCAGAGGGUCAGCCAGGGAAGGCCAGGGUUUGGAGAGGGGAGGCAGGAGCCUGAGCCGGGUACGACACAGGGGCCCACGGACCCGCGCUGUCUCCAGGAGCCAUGAAAGGCCCCUGGCUCGUCUUGCUGGUCGUGCUGCUCUGCUCAGAGCUUGCCUGGAGCCUGUCGUGCUACAUCUGUUCCGGCAUCGACGACAUCAGACAUUGUCAGACCACCCAGUGCAACUGGGACUCUUCGAUCUGCUUUAAGAGCAAGAUGACCGUGGCCACGGCCAGUGGGAAGCGGGAGACCUACUUCAUGAGCUGUGCCCCUUCCUGCCAGGCGGCUACCCAGAUGAUGCAGGAGCUGGCAGCCACGACAAACCCCAAGUCUGAAGUGCAGGAUGUGACCUGCUGCCAAAAUGACCUGUGCAACACCGCCGUGGCCCCGGCGGGGCGCAGCCUCUGGGCCCUGGCUGGGGGGCUCCUGUUCAGCCUGGGCCCCACCCUCCUCUGGGCCCUGCAGUGAGGACCCCCGUGACGAAGACUCAGAGGGGCAGGGGCCCUGUUCCCGAGCCUGGUCCCAGGGGGCAGUACCGCGGGCCCAGCUCAGCAGGCUCUUGCACACGCAGGUGCGCACACACGCACACACUCAGAUGCAUGUGUGCGCAGGACCUCCCCCAGGCCCACUGCCACCCCUGGGCCCCCGCAGCCCACCCACCCGACCAGCCCAGCCGCCGGCACCCAGCGAGCCUGCACAUUUGCAAAAACCAUCAAUCAACCACCCGACCGAGAAGCAGAGGCCACCGGGCCCUGGCUGGACCGGCCACUAGGAGGGCAGAGCCACAGCCCGCCUGGCCUGGGUCCGGCUACCUGUGCGCCAGCAUCCUCUGCGGAAAAUAAACCCCUUCCACAUUC